This 207-nucleotide unclassified non-coding RNA is filed under the name plant metagenome. RNAcentral describes it as "partial contains small subunit ribosomal RNA, internal transcribed spacer 1, and 5.8S ribosomal RNA". The record is from RNAcentral.
CGUAGGUGAACCUGCGGAAGGAUCAUUCAUAAUAAAGUGUUUUAUGGCACUUUUUAAAAAUCCAUAUCCACCUUGUGUGCAAUGUUAGAUCUCGUCAAUUUUGGCGAGAUUUUUAUACAUCAACUCAUUCUUUAACUAAUUUGUCUGAAAAAUAUUAUGAAUACUUAAUUCAAAAUACAACUUUCAACAACGGAUCUCUUGGCUCUC